Molecule: ribosomal RNA, 496 nt
Filed under: uncultured bacterium
Lineage: Bacteria
Description: partial 16S ribosomal RNA
Rfam family: Bacterial small subunit ribosomal RNA
Source: RNAcentral
GAUGAACGCUGGCGGCGUGCCUAAUACAUGCCAGUCGAGCGAACAGACGAGGAGCUUGCUCCUCUGACGUUAGCGGCGGACGGGUGAGUAACACGUGGAUAACCUACCUAUAAGACUGGGAUAACUUCGGGAAACCGGAGCUAAUACCGGAUAAUAUAUUGAACCGCAUGGUUCAAUAGUGAAAGACGGUUUUGCUGUCACUUAUAGAUGGAUCCGCGCCGCAUUAGCUAGUUGGUAAGGUAACGGCUUACCAAGGCAACGAUGCGUAGCCGACCUGAGAGGGUGAGCGGCCACACUGGAACUAAGACACGGUCCAGACUCCUACGGGAGGCAGCAGUAGGGAAUCUUCCGCAAUGGGCGAAAGCCUGACGGAGCAACGCCGCGUGAGUGAUGAAGGUCUUCGGAUCGUAAAACUCUGUUAUUAGGGAAGAACAAAUGUGUAAGUAACUAUGCACGUCUUGACGGUACCUAAUCAGAAAGCCACGGCUAACUACGU